Molecule: ribosomal RNA, 416 nt
Filed under: uncultured bacterium
Lineage: Bacteria
Description: bacterial SSU rRNA
Rfam family: Bacterial small subunit ribosomal RNA
Source: RNAcentral
GAACGGGGUAGCAAUACCCAGUGGCAGACGGGUGAGUAACACGUGGUCAACCUACCUCCGCGUGGGGGAUAACUAGCCGAAAGGUUAGCUAAUACCGCAUACGAUCGUUUGAAGGCAUCUUCGAACGAUGAAAGGAGCAAUCCGCACGGAGAGGGGACUGCGUCCCAUUAGUUAGUUGGUGGGGUAACGGCCUACCAAGACUCCGAUGGGUAGCUGGCUUGAGAGAGCGACCAGCCACACUGGAACUGAGACACGGUCCAGACUCCUACGGGAGGCAGCAGUGAGGAAUUUUCCGCAAUGGGCGAAAGCCUGACGGAGCGACGCCGCGUGUGGGAAGAAGGCCUUCGGGUCGUAAACCACUGUCGAAGGGGACGAUAUUGACGGUACCCUUGGAGGAAGCCCCGGCUAACUACGUG